UACCCACCAGCUAGCCCCAACCACAAACCAAUAUCGCAACCCUAUAACUAAAUUACAAAAAACUACAAUCAUUAAACAAACCAUUUUUCCCCCCAAGUACGGGAGACAGAAAGGGAUCCAGGAGCAACAGAUACAGUACCGCAAGGGAACGCUGAAAAAGAAAUGAAACAAUCCAAUGAAGUACUAAAAAGCAGAGAUACGAUCUCGUACCUUUUGCAUCAUGCUUUAGCUAGUUAGCCCGGGCAAAAAGCAUUUAAGUCCGACACCCCGAAACUAGGUGAGCUACUCCAAGACAGCCUAUUUAUAGGGCCAACCCGUCUCUGUGGCAAAAGAGUGGGAUGAGCUUUGAGUAGAGGUGAUAGACCUACCGAACCUAGUUAUAGCUGGUUGCCUGAGAAACGAAUAAAAGUUCAGCUUCUUAGCUUCUUUACUCAACACAGUUACUACACCACUAUGACAAACAAGAAACCAAGAAAGUUAGUCAAAGGGGGUACAGCCCCUUUGAAUUAGGAUACAACCUUUAUAGAUGGGUAACGACCAUAAUAAACUUAGGCAAGAUAUUCUAGUGGGCUUAAAAGCAGCCACCAAAAUAGAAAGCGUUAAAGCUCAAAUACUUUUCUUCCCUUUUAUUCUGAUAAAACAAUCCUAACCCUCUCACCACUAUUAGGCCGCCCCAUAAAAAUGGGAAUGACCAUGCUAAUAUGAGUAAUAAGAGACAACAGACUCUCUCCACGCACAAGUGUAAACCGGAACAGACUAACUACCGAACAUUACCCGAACCCAAACAAAGAGGGCAUUAGACCACAAACAAAAAACAAGAAAAACCCCUAACAUAUUUACCGUUAAACCUACACCGGAGUGCUAACCAGGAAAGACUAACAGAAAAAGAAGGAACUCGGCAAACACAACACGCCUCGCCUGUUUACCAAAAACAUCGCCUCUUGCAAGUAAAGAAUAAGAGGUCCCGCCUGCCCUGUGACAGACACUGUUUAACGGCCGCGGUAUUUUGACCGUGCAAAGGUAGCGCAAUCACUUGUCUUUUAAAUGAAGACCUGUAUGAAUGGCAUAACGAGGGCUAAGCUGUCUCCUUUUUUAAGUCAAUGAAAUUGAUCCCCCCGUGCAGAAGCGGGGAUAAAAACAUAAGACGAGAAGACCCUAUGGAGCUUAAGACAUUAAACAGCUUAAAGUAAAACUUCCCAUAAAAGAAACAAACCAAAAAAUGACCUGUUGUAUUGUCUUUGGUUGGGGCGACCGCGGGGAAACAAAAAACCCCCAUGUGGACUGGGACAACAUUCCUACAGUCAAGAGCUACAGCUCUAAAAAACAGAACUUCUGACCUUUAAGAUCCGGCGCAUUGGCCGAUCAACGGACCGAGUUACCCUAGGGAUAACAGCGCAAUCCCCUUUUAGAGCCCAUAUCGACAAGGGGGUUUACGACCUCGAUGUUGGAUCAGGACAUCCUAAUGGUGCAGCCGCUAUUAAGGGUUCGUUUGUUCAACGAUUAAAGUCCU
This 1510-nucleotide ribosomal RNA is filed under the name Badis blosyrus. Its description in RNAcentral is "partial 16S ribosomal RNA". It matches the Rfam family "Bacterial large subunit ribosomal RNA", at positions 236 to 2597 of the family's 2925-position model. Lineage: Eukaryota; Metazoa; Chordata; Actinopteri; Anabantiformes; Badidae. The record is from RNAcentral.